This 433-nucleotide ribosomal RNA is filed under the name uncultured bacterium. RNAcentral describes it as "partial 16S ribosomal RNA". It matches the Rfam family "Bacterial small subunit ribosomal RNA", at positions 29 to 507 of the family's 1533-position model. The record is from RNAcentral.
AACGAACGCUGGCGGCAUGCCUAACACAUGCAAGUCGAACGAGACCUUCGGGUCUAGUGGCGCACGGGUGCGUAACGCGUGGGAACCCGCCCUUCAGUUCGGAAUAACUCCCCGAAAGGGGUGCUAACACCGGAUAAUGUCUUCGGACCAACGAUUUAUCGCCUUUGGAUGGGCCCGCGUUGGUUUAGCCUGGUGGUAGGGUAAAAGCCUACCGAGGCGACGAUACAUAGCUGGUCUGAGAGGAUGAUCAGCCACACUGGGACUGAGACACGGCCCAGACUCCUACGGGAGGCAGCAGUGGGGAAUAUUGGACAAUGGGCGAGAGCCUGAUCCAGCAAUGCCGCGGGAGUGAUGAAGGCCUGAGGGUUGUAAAGCUCUUUUACCCGGGAUGAUAAUGACAGUACCGGGAGAAUAAGCUCCGGCUAACUCCGUG